This 407-nucleotide long non-coding RNA is filed under the name Pan troglodytes (chimpanzee). Its description in RNAcentral is "lincRNA". The record is from RNAcentral. Lineage: Eukaryota; Metazoa; Chordata; Mammalia; Primates; Hominidae.
ACAGAUAUUCCAAAAAAGGAGAUAUAAACAUGACCAUAAAAGACAUGAAAAGAUGUUUAACCCCGUUAGUCAUCAUGGAAAUGCAAAUGAAAACCACCAUACAGACACUAGAGUGGUUUAAAUUUGAAUGACUUCCAACACCAAAUGCCAGACAGGACAUAGAGCAACUGGAUGUCUCAUGCUCACAGGCAGAAGGGAAAACUACUGUGUGUGACAGGAAGAUGGACUUACCCAACCUUCAGCGUUCUCAAUCUCUUGUCUAUUAACAUGUGUUUGAAACAUUAUGCAUUCAAAGCAAACAUCUGGGAGGAAGAUGGGAGAAGCCUUCUUGCCCCUGUUCUACAGAAGUAAUUGAAGUUCAUGACAUUCAAGCUCAUUCAUCAGUAAAUGAAUUUGGGUCAUGCUUU